GUAAUGGCUCACCAAGGCUAUGACGCCUAUCUGGUCUGAGAGGAUGAUCAGACACACUGGAACUGAGACACGGUCCAGACUCCUACGGGAGGCAGCAGUGGGGAAUAUUACACAAUGGAGGAAACUCUGAUGUAGCAACGCCGCGUGGAGGAUGACACACUUCGGUGCGUAAACUCCUUUUAUGUGAGAAGAUAAUGACGGUAUCACAUGAAUAAGCACCGGCUAACUCCGUGCCAGCAGCCGCGGUAAUACGGAGGGUGCAAGCGUUACUCGGAAUCACUGGGCGUAAAGCGCGCGCAGGCGGCUUUGUAAGUUGGAUGUGAAAUCCUAUGGCUCAACCAUAGAACUGCAUCCAAAACUACUUAGCUAGAGUCUGGGAGGGGAAGAUGGAAUUAGUGGUGUAGGGGUAAAAUCCGUAGAGAUCACUAGGAAUACCAAAAGCGGAGGCGAUCUUCUGGAACAGUACUGACGCUGAGGCGCGAAAGCGUGGGAGCAAACAGGAUUAGAUACCCUGGUAGUCCACGCCCUAAACGAUGAAUGUUAGUCGUCGGGAGGCUUGUCCUUUCGGUGAUGCAGCUAACGCAUUAAACAUUCCGCCUGGGGAGUACGGUCGCAAGAUUAAAACUCAAAGGAAUAGACGGGGACCCGCACAAGUGGUGGAGCAUGUGGUUUAAUUCGAAGAUACGCGAAGAACCUUACCUGGCCUUGACAUUGAUAGAAUCUGCUAGAGAUAGCGGAGUGCCCUUCGGGGAGCUUGAAAACAGGUGCUGCACGGCUGUCGUCAGCUCGUGUCGUGAGAUGUUGGGUUAAGUCCCGCAACGAGCGCAACCCUCGUCACUAGUUACUAACGGUUCGGCCGAGGACUCUAGUGAGACUGCCUUCGCAAGGAGGAGGAAGGUGAGGACGACGUCAAGUCAUCAUGGCCCUUACGGCCAGGGCGACACACGUGCUACAAUGGGAUGUACAAUGAGACGCAAUACCGCGAGGUGGAGCAAAUCUAUAAAGCAUCUCUCAGUUCGGAUUGUAGUCUGCAACUCGACUGCAUGAAGCUGGAAUCACUAGUAAUCGUAGAUCAGCCAUGCUACGGUGAAUACGUUCCCGGGUCUUGUACUCACCGCCCGUCACACCAUGGGAGUUGAUUUCACCCGAA
This 1150-nucleotide ribosomal RNA is filed under the name uncultured Campylobacterota bacterium. RNAcentral describes it as "bacterial SSU rRNA". It matches the Rfam family "Bacterial small subunit ribosomal RNA", at positions 257 to 1425 of the family's 1533-position model. The record is from RNAcentral. Lineage: Bacteria; Pseudomonadati; Campylobacterota.